CCUACGGGGGGCAGCAGUGAGGAAUAUUGGUCAAUGGACGAGAGUCUGAACCAGCCAAGUAGCGUGAAGGAUGACUGCCCUAUGGGUUGUAAACUUCUUUUAUAUGGGAAUAAAAUGUUCCCCGUGUGGGAUUUUGUAUGUACCAUAUGAAUAAGGAUCGGCUAACUCCGUGCCAGCAGCCGCGGUAAUACGGAGGAUCCGAGCGUUAUCCGGAUUUAUUGGGUUUAAAGGGAGCGUAGGUGGAUUGUUAAGUCAGUUGUGAAAGUUUGCGACUCAACCGUAAAAUUGCAGUUGAAACUGGCAGUCUUGAGUACAGUAGAGGUGGGCGGAAUUCGUGGUGUAGCGGUGAAAUGCUUAGAUAUCACGAAGAACUCCGAUUGCGAAGGCAGUUCACUGGACUGCAACUGACACUGAGGCUCGAAAGUGUGGGUAUCAAACAGGAUUAGAUACCCUGGUAGUC
This 460-nucleotide ribosomal RNA is filed under the name uncultured bacterium. RNAcentral describes it as "partial 16S ribosomal RNA". It matches the Rfam family "Bacterial small subunit ribosomal RNA", at positions 338 to 795 of the family's 1533-position model. The record is from RNAcentral.